CAGCGCAGUGUAGCAAUACAUGGGCGGCGACCGGCAAACGGGUGCGGAACACGUACGCAACCUUCCUUCAAAUGAGGAAUAGCCUUUCGAAAGAGAGAUUAAUACCUCGUAACAUUUUCUGGUGGCAUCACUGGAUUAUUAUAGCUCCGGCGUUUGAAGAUGGGCGUGCGCCUGAUUAGGUAGUUGGCGGAGUAACAGCCCACCAAGCCUACGAUCAGUAACUGGUGUGAGAGCACGACCAGUCACACGGGCACUGAGACACGGGCCCGACUCCUACGGGAGGCAGCAGUAAGGAAUAUUGGUCAAUGGACGCAAGUCUGAACCAGCCAUGCCGCGUGGAGGAUGAAGGUCCUCUGGAUUGUAAACUUCUUUUAUCGGAGAAGAAACCCCGGAAUUCUUUCUGGGUUGACGGUACCCGAUGAAUAAGCACCGGCUAACUCCGUGCCAGCAGCCGCGGUAAUACGGAGGGUGCAAGCGUUAUCCGGAUUCACUGGGUUUAAAGGGAGCGUAGGUGGGGUGGUAAGUCAGUGGUGAAAUCUCCGGGCUUAACUCGGAAACUGCCGUUGAUACUAUCAUUCUUGAAUAUUGUGGAGGUAAGCGGAAUAUGUCAUGUAGCGGUGAAAUGCUUAGAUAUGACAUAGAACACCGAUAGCGAAGGCAGCUUGCUACACAAUUAUUGACACUGAGGCUCGAAAGCGUGGGGAUCAAACAGGAUUAGAUACCCUGGUAGUCCACGCCCUAAACGAUGGAUACUCGACAUACGCGAUACACAGUGUGUGUCUGAGCGAAAGCAUUAAGUAUCCCACCUGGGAAGUACGACCGC
Molecule: ribosomal RNA, 823 nt
Filed under: uncultured Flexibacteraceae bacterium
Lineage: Bacteria; Pseudomonadati; Bacteroidota; Cytophagia; Cytophagales; Cytophagaceae
Description: bacterial SSU rRNA
Rfam family: Bacterial small subunit ribosomal RNA
Source: RNAcentral